RNAcentral lists this non-coding RNA (816 nucleotides) under Gecarcoidea natalis. Lineage: Eukaryota; Metazoa; Arthropoda; Malacostraca; Decapoda; Gecarcinidae. The record is from RNAcentral.
GAAUGUUUUAUUUUAGCUAAGUUCUUUACGAUAUUAUUGAAAUUGUAUGAAAGUUGUAGCGUGAACUUUGAUUUAAUUAUAUAUUAAAUUAGUAAAGUAAGUAAGUUUAAUUAUGAAUUAUAUGGUCUCAGCAUAAAUUAUUAAUAAAUAUAUAAAAGUAUGAAUUAGUAAUAAUAUUAAAAGUCUGAUAAAUAUUUGUGCCAGCAUUCGCGGUUAUACUUUGGGAUUAAGUAAAGUAAAUUAGAUAUAGUUAGAUGUUUUAGUUUUAAAAUAAUUUAUUGAAAAUAAAAGGUAAAAUUGAGCUGUUGUUUAUAUAAAAUAAUAAAAAGUUAUCGAAGCUAAUAAGAUUUGGUUAAAAACUAGGAUUAGAUACCCUAUUAUUCCAAAUAGAAAUUUAUAAAUCUAAAUUAGUAAUAGAUAUUAUCUUGAAAAUUAAAAAAUUUGGCGGUGAUUUAAUCUUUUUAGAGGAAUUUGUUUCUUAAUCGAUAAUCCACGUAAAAUCUUACUUAUUUUUGUUUUUAGUUUGUAUACCAUCAUUAUCAGGUAAUUCUUAAAGGAAAAAUUAUUGAAUUUAAUUGUUUAUAAAAAUUAGAUCAUGGUGCAGCUUAUGAAUAAGUUGAAAUGAAUUACAAUAAAUUAUUUUAAAAUGAAUUAAUAAAAUAAAUUUUGUUAUGAAGGAGGAUUUAAUUGUAUUAUAAGUUUAAUAAGCUUAUAAGAAAUAAGCUCUAAAUCAUGUACAUAUCGCCCGUCGCUUUCACCUAUAAGUGAAAUAAGUCGUAACAUAGUAGAUGUAUUGGAAAAUGUAUCUAGAAUUAU